Molecule: ribosomal RNA, 751 nt
Filed under: Streptomyces youssoufiensis
Lineage: Bacteria; Bacillati; Actinomycetota; Actinomycetes; Kitasatosporales; Streptomycetaceae
Description: bacterial SSU rRNA
Rfam family: Bacterial small subunit ribosomal RNA
Source: RNAcentral
UGCACUCUGGGACAAGCCCUGGAAACGGGGUCUAAUACCGGAUAUGACUACCGAUCGCAUGGUUGGUGGUGGAAAGCUCCGGCGGUGCAGGAUGAGCCCGCGGCCUAUCAGCUUGUUGGUGGGGUGAUGGCCUACCAAGGCGACGACGGGUAGCCGGCCUGAGAGGGCGACCGGCCACACUGGGACUGAGACACGGCCCAGACUCCUACGGGAGGCAGCAGUGGGGAAUAUUGCACAAUGGGCGAAAGCCUGAUGCAGCGACGCCGCGUGAGGGAUGACGGCCUUCGGGUUGUAAACCUCUUUCAGCAGGGAAGAAGCGAGAGUGACGGUACCUGCAGAAGAAGCGCCGGCUAACUACGUGCCAGCAGCCGCGGUAAUACGUAGGGCGCGAGCGUUGUCCGGAAUUAUUGGGCGUAAAGAGCUCGUAGGCGGCUUGUCACGUCGGAUGUGAAAGCCCGGGGCUUAACCCCGGGUCUGCAUUCGAUACGGGCAGGCUAGAGUUCGGUAGGGGAGAUCGGAAUUCCUGGUGUAGCGGUGAAAUGCGCAGAUAUCAGGAGGAACACCGGUGGCGAAGGCGGAUCUCUGGGCCGAUACUGACGCUGAGGAGCGAAAGCGUGGGGAGCGAACAGGAUUAGAUACCCUGGUAGUCCACGCCGUAAACGUUGGGAACUAGGUGUGGGCGACAUUCCACGUCGUCCGUGCCGCAGCUAACGCAUUAAGUUCCCCGCCUGGGGAGUACGGCCGCAAGGCU